UAUGGGGAGUCUGCCCGAUAGAGGGGGAUAACUACUGGAAACGGUGGCUAAUACCGCAUAAUGUCGCAAGACCAAAGUGGGGGACCUUCGGGCCUCAUGCCAUCAGAUGUGCCCAGAUGGGAUUAGCUAGUAGGUGGGGUAAAGGCUCACCUAGGCGACGAUCUCUAGCUGGUCUGAGAGGAUGAUCAGCCACACUGGGACUGAGACACGGCCCAG
Molecule: ribosomal RNA, 216 nt
Filed under: uncultured bacterium
Lineage: Bacteria
Description: partial 16S ribosomal RNA
Rfam family: Bacterial small subunit ribosomal RNA
Source: RNAcentral